RNAcentral lists this ribosomal RNA (941 nucleotides) under Dictyostelium minimum. RNAcentral's name for it is "eukaryotic LSU rRNA". The stretch from base 301 to 458 matches the Rfam family "5.8S ribosomal RNA". The record is from RNAcentral. Lineage: Eukaryota; Evosea; Eumycetozoa; Dictyosteliales; Dictyosteliaceae.
CGGCGUUUUUACUUAGUAUAUCAUAGAUGAUAGCGUCUGGAGUAAGUUGAACAAGUUAUUAAGCAAUUAGUAACCUAGUAAACUAGCUCAAGUCCUGUUGUCUUGAUGUUUCUAUUACAAUUUAUUGUGGUUUAUAAUUAUUUAAAGGUAAUAAAAUGUCAACUUUAGUGUUGAAUCCAUCUAGCAAUGUUACACAUGUUAUAGACUAAUCCUGACUCAAUUACACACAUGGUACUUGUACCAUUUUUCUAGUACGACAAACACAACAUUUAAAAUAUGUUUACAGAAUUUUAAAUUUUUAAGCAUAAACGGUGGAUACCUCGACUCCUAAAUCGAUGAAGACCGUAGCAAACUGCGAUAAUUCACUUGAAUUGCAGCCUACUGGGAUAGUUGAAAUGUUGAACGCACAUGAUGACAUUGGUCCUUACGGAUUAAAUGUUAUACCUGGGUGAGAGUGGCUUUUAAACCAGUCAUAAUCAAAUGAUUUUCAAACACUUAGGUGAGCGAAUCUCUUUGAGAAUGAUUUGUAUAGCGAGUUAACUGUAAAGGUACCUUCCCGGUACUCGCGCACUAACGGACUAUACAUUUAUACGGUACUCCGUAGUAAUUGCUCACAGUUUUCUCACUGACCACUUUAUUAAACUACUUCCAUAUGGAUUUUAGUCAUUAAGGGUCGCUUUAGCGAGUUUAACUUUAGUAAUCUAACAAUUGAUUUAUCACUAGUUAGAGAGCUAUAACUUAACAGACCUAUUGCAACCUGACUUUAAUUCGGAUUUAAACCUAUAUUGUGUGUCGGUGUAGAAUAACAAUCUGUUUAGUCGGUUUGAUAAGCAUGGGAGUGCUACUCCUAUUAGUCUUUUUAUUAAACCCAUGACUUUAUAUGUUGCCUCACCUUGGUAAGACUACCCGCUGAACUUAAGCAUAUCAAAAAGCGGAGGAAA